GACGUAGGGCGCGAGCGUUGUCCGGAUUUAUUGGGCGUAAAGAGCUCGUAGGCGGCUUGUCGCGUCGUCCGUGAAAACCCACAGCUCAACUGUGGGCUUGCGGUCGAUACGGGCAGGCUAGAGUUUGGUAGGGGAGACUGGAAUUCCUGGUGUAGCGGUGAAAUGCGCAGAUAUCAGGAGGAACACCGGUGGCGAAGGCGGGUCUCUGGGCCGAUACUGACGCUGAGGAGCGAAAGCGUGGGGAGCGAACAGG
This 253-nucleotide ribosomal RNA is filed under the name uncultured bacterium. RNAcentral describes it as "partial 16S ribosomal RNA". It matches the Rfam family "Bacterial small subunit ribosomal RNA", at positions 524 to 776 of the family's 1533-position model. The record is from RNAcentral.